Long non-coding RNA from Amphimedon queenslandica, 176 nucleotides. RefSeq lists it as uncharacterized. The record is from RefSeq and is a predicted model, not a curated record. NCBI's taxonomy places the organism in Eukaryota, Metazoa, Porifera, Demospongiae, Haplosclerida, Niphatidae. The transcript has 3 exons.
UAACUAAUGGAGCUAAAACUGAUGUUGUGGAUAAAUAUGGUGAAACAUUACUACAUUGUGCUGCUGAAUCUGGUAAGAUUGAAAUGCUUAAGUUUUGGAUAAAAAGAGGAGAUUAUGAUGUUAACGUUUUAGAUAAAAAAAAAAGAACUCCAUUGUUUAAUGCUGUUAAGGAAGGU